This 21-nucleotide small nuclear RNA is filed under the name Arabidopsis thaliana (thale cress). Its description in RNAcentral is "snRNA_10957". The record is from RNAcentral. Lineage: Eukaryota; Viridiplantae; Streptophyta; Magnoliopsida; Brassicales; Brassicaceae.
GCGAUGAAACUCUAAGACCGG